RNAcentral lists this unclassified non-coding RNA (229 nucleotides) under Hevea brasiliensis (rubber tree). Lineage: Eukaryota; Viridiplantae; Streptophyta; Magnoliopsida; Malpighiales; Euphorbiaceae. The record is from RNAcentral.
GGAGUAUGUUUAAAAUCAAAACGAUAAAGGGAAAAAAGAAGAAGAAAGAGAGACAUGGUAGCCUUGCCCCUGGCUUUGGCUGUGCACCCCCAAUUCAAAAAACGCUGGUGGUGAUUCACAAACAGCCAAAACCCAACCAACCAACCUUCCUCACCAGUCACACAGUAUUCAUGAAUAUUUUAAUUCUAACCCAAUAUAACUUUACUUCACCGGAGACGUAAAAGUCGCC